This 398-nucleotide ribosomal RNA is filed under the name uncultured bacterium. RNAcentral's name for it is "partial 16S ribosomal RNA". It matches the Rfam family "Bacterial small subunit ribosomal RNA", at positions 523 to 918 of the family's 1533-position model. The record is from RNAcentral.
AUACGUAGGGUGCGAGCGUUGUCCGGAAUUACUGGGCGUAAAGAGCUCGUAGGUGGUUUGUCGCGUCGUCUGUGAAAUUCCGGGGCUUAACUCCGUGCGUGCAGGCGAUACGGGCAUAACUUGAGUACUGUAGGGGAGACUGGAAUUCCUGGUGUAGCGGUGAAAUGCGCAGAACUCAGGAGGAACACCGGUGGCGAAGGCGGGUCUCUGGGCAGUAACUGACGCUGAGGAGCGAAAGCAUGGGUAGCGAACAGGAUUAGAUCCCCUGGUAGUCCAUGCCGUAAACGGUGGGCGCUAGGUGUAGGGGUCUUCCACGACUUCUGUGCCGUAGCUAACGCAUUAAGCGCCCCGCCUGGGGAGUACGGCCGCAAGGCUAAAACUCAAAUGAAUUGACGGGG